CAACCCUCAAGCCCUGCUUGGUGUUGGGGUCCCUACGGCUGCCGUAGGCCCUGAAAGCUAGUGGCGGGCUCGCUACAACUCCGAGCGCAGUAAUAUAUCUCGCUAGGGAAGUGUUGCGGGUUCCGGCCGUUAAACCCCCCAAUUUUACAA
This 150-nucleotide unclassified non-coding RNA is filed under the name uncultured Phialophora. RNAcentral describes it as "sequence contains ITS2". The record is from RNAcentral. Lineage: Eukaryota; Fungi; Ascomycota; Leotiomycetes.